UUAGGGGUUGGGUCGCCCUGAGGCUGACAGGGUAUCACCAGCUCCCUGCCUACUUCUUGAAGGUACUCGGCACGAGGCGAGACACGGAAAGAAGGGGGGUCCUAUGCACAUCACCAGAUUGCAAACAAGAGAAAUGGUGUCAGCAAUCAGUGUCAGCAUCACUUCCAUCUUUUCUCCAGAUGAUGGUGGGUUUGGGGUUUCCAUGAGCAUCACAGCGGAGGCAGGAGAAUCCGACAUUCAAACCAGCCCUCAUCCUCCAGAGUCAACUUAUCCACCAGAAGAGACGCGCCACGGCUCAAGGACACACGACCUGCCCCGAAAAUCAGAGAGACAAGCAAUUAUUCAUAAGUGUUUUGAAAAAUGAGAUAAAGAAUGAGAAAUCACACAAAACUGCAGCUCAAACAUUAGAGCAAGCGCUAGCAACUCAUGGGUUUUGAUUCCCAGGGAAAGCAUGCACUUAAUAAAACGUGUACCUUAAAUGCAAUGUACAUUUUUUUGGUAUAAAGCAUCUGCAAAAUGCAUAAAACGUAAAUGUAAAACUGCUGCCUAAUACAAAGUACAGAAUCAGAUGAGAUCCUGCACAAAUUUGAAAGUAGCCACAGUUUUGCGCAUAUUCCAAAAACCACAUGCAAAUCCAAGUGAGAUUAUUAUAGCCCUGGUACUUCACAAGUCAAUAAGGAAUUUAAUAUAUAAACACUGAAUUUAAUACAGAUAAGUGUAUGGAAUUGAAAGUUAUUCAGGCCCCAAUUGUAUGCUUGAUCACUAUUUUACAUAAAGUAACGAUUAUAUUCCUUAAUGCACAACUCAAUAAAUCAUAUAGAGACAAAGAAAAUAUUUUUUCCAGCUCAGAGUAAAAAGAAGCACCUGCUUUUGUUUACCGCACAGGCACUUGUAAACGUGGAAAGACCAACUCAGCUCCACAAAAAUCUGAACAGCUCUCUGCAUGAUGUAACACGGUCAGCUGUUUUCCUCAUAUCCAUACUCAAAACAAAAACAACCCCACAAACCCGCAUUGGCCUAAGCGUUAUUGAAAUAUGAUAUGAAUGGAGCACACAGACACAAAUCAGUUUCAAAGCAAUAGAAACAGCUGAAUCUACUACUCUUUGAAAUAUGAUAUGCGCGUACUUGAGUCUGGUUUUUCAACCUCGACCUCUCCCUCUACUUUCAUUCUGCUUUUUUUCUGAAUUCCAGGGUUGUAAAUGAUGACACACUGAUAACGCAGUGGAUGCCGGCUGUGAGUGUGUUUCCGCUUUGCUGGAAGCGGUCGUUGAAGUUUGAAAGUGAGCCAAGAACCCUGCGUAGAGUACGAAAUCAUACCGUGACAAUUUAAUGCCAAAUGGCUACAGCUGAGGAAUUACAAUACAAACACACCUGGAGUCUGACAUAGCGCUGAACCCUCCAGUGGUGUGUGCAGGUGUGUCAGCGUUAGAUUUACACUUCCAGACUUCAGUCAAGCAUCACAAACCCUAAAUUUAAGCACUGAACUUCAGUCUGUAAACCUUCUCGCAUAACAUGAAUGAUUUGACAAAAUCCUUUAGACGGAGUAAAAAUCUGGUUAAUAUCUGUGGCUCGGUCAACUGCAAUCCACUCUUUAGACAGUAAGAAACAUCCGAUUCUGAUCGUGUGUGGGACUCAACAGUAAUCUAAAGUUAACUCCAGACUGAUGAACUGAAGGCCUGUCCUAACGUGCCCUAUCCUUUAUCUUUUAUCAAAUGUGCUGCAUUGUUCUUUGCUUGGCAGGUCUAUUCAUCAAAUCAAGAGUGCUUAUAGGAGAGAGAAAAAACACAAGAGAUCUUAUUUUGAUAUCUCAAUUGUUUCCAGACAAUACUGGGAUUCAACAGCCAAAGUCUGCAAUCAAAAAUCAGACAAUUUCUAAUCAAAUGAUCUGAGCUGCUAUCCACAUUCACUUUUAUGGCUGUUACUGUAGGACAACUAUGUACCUAAAAUCAAAUAAUAAAUAAAUAAAAUAGACACAAGCUAAAUAAAAAUACACAGACAAAGAGGUCUCUUCUGUUCACAGAGACUGCAUUUAUUUAAUUAAAAUGUAAUAAAAUUGUGAAAUAUAUUACAAUUUUAAAUAAUUGUUUUCUAUUUAAAUAUAUUUAUAUUGUAAUUUAUAUUUGCGAUACAAAGCUGAAUUUUUAGCAGCAAUUAAUAUGCUGAUUUUAAUAUUCUGGUUGGCUGCUCAAGAAAAAAAUAUUCAAUGUUGAAACGUUUAUAUUUCUAUUGAAGCUGUUUGUUUUUAUUAGUCUAUUAUUCUCACUAACGCUGCAUUAAUUUGACAAAAAAUCCAGUAAAAACAGUGAUAUUGUGAAAUAUUAUUAUGAUUUAAAAUAACUGCUUUCUAUUUGAAUACAUUUUAAAAUUGAAUUUAUUUCUGUGAUGCAAAGCUGAAUUUUCCGCAUCAUUACUCGAGUCAUCAGUGUCACGAUUCUUCAGAAAUCAUUCUAAAAUGCCGAUUUGCUUCUCAUGAAACAUUUCUGAUUACUAUCAAUGUUAAAAACUGCUUGUUGUGCUGCUUCAUACUUUGGUUUGUUCCUGCUUUUCAGGAUUUCUGAUGAAUAGACUGUUCAAAAGAGCUGAAUUUAUUUGAAACCUUUUGUAACAUUAUAAAUGUCUUU
Molecule: long non-coding RNA, 2621 nt
Organism: Onychostoma macrolepis
Lineage: Eukaryota; Metazoa; Chordata; Actinopteri; Cypriniformes; Cyprinidae
Exons: 3
Source: RefSeq, a predicted model, not a curated record